GAUGAACGCUGGCGGCGUGCCUAACACAUGCAAGUCGAGCGAACCCUUCGGGGUGAGCGGCGGACGGGUGAGUAACGCGUGGGUAACCUGCACUAUACACACGGAUAACGUACCGAAAGGUACGCUAAUACGGGAUAAAGUUGUUGGAUGGCAUCUUCUAACAAUCAAAGCUCUGGCGGUAUAGGAUGGACCCGCGUCUGAUUAGCUAGUUGGUGAGGUAAUGGCUCACCAAGGCGACGAUCAGUAGCCGACCUGAGAGGGUGAUCGGCCACACUGGAACUGAGACACGGUCCAGACUCCUACGGGAGGCAGCAGUGGGGAAUAUUGCACAAUGGGCGAAAGCCUGAUGCAGCAACGCCGCGUGAGCGAUGAAGGUCUUCGGAUCGUAAAGCCCUGUCCUCAAGGAAGAUAAUGACGGUACUUGAGGAGGAAGCCCCGGCUAACUACGUGCCAGCCGCCGCGGUAA
Molecule: ribosomal RNA, 466 nt
Filed under: uncultured bacterium
Lineage: Bacteria
Description: partial 16S ribosomal RNA
Rfam family: Bacterial small subunit ribosomal RNA
Source: RNAcentral